UUCUAAUAGAAAUCAUUAUUAGUAAAAUCUGCUCAAUGAGUAUUAAAUAGCCGCAAUUAAUUUGUGCUAAGGUAGCAUAAUCAUUUGUCUUUCAAUUGUAGACUAGAACGAAAGAUUCAACAUUUUUAUCUCUAUAUAUAAAAUAAAUUUCAAAUUUAUAUUAAACAUAAAAAUAUUUUUAUAUAAAAAAAAGACGAUAAGACCCUAUCGAACUUUACUCAAGUUAAACUGGGGAAGUUUAUUAAAAAAUAUUUUAAUAAAUAAUAAAUAUAAAAAAUCCAAUAAAAUCGACUAAUUAAUCAAGUUACCGUAGGGAUAACAGCGUAAUAUUUUUUCAAAGAUCUUAUUAAAAAAAACAGAUUACGACCUCGAUGUUGAAUAUUUACCCUAAUAUAAUGCAAUAAUUUAAUAAGGAAGUCUGUUCGACUUUUAAUUAAUUACA
RNAcentral lists this ribosomal RNA (442 nucleotides) under Tasmarubrius truncus. Its description in RNAcentral is "partial 16S ribosomal RNA". Lineage: Eukaryota; Metazoa; Arthropoda; Arachnida; Araneae; Macrobunidae. The record is from RNAcentral.